UAUCAUUUUUCUCUUCUCCACCGAAAAUGGCAGAAAAGAGAGGAGUUUUGAAGCUCUGAAAUAUCAGCUACUUACAUCCCUUGCUAAUGAUGAAAAUUGAGAUUUGGACCUAGAACGGAAAGAAAUCGAUUAAGGGAUAAUUAUGUCUUUUUUUUUCACCUUUGCGGUAUCAAGGGUUGCCAGGUUAGCUCGGGUUGGAGUUCGUCGGAGAUAUUAUCACACUGUCAAGCUAACGUUAUUGGUGUAGUGAUUUCAAGUACUUUGAGCCUAUGACAUGUAUAAGAGUUUAAAUAUUAGAGUUUGGGCAAAGUUCAAUUGUUGAAUUAGCUUGCAAAGUCGAUCCCAAACUCAAAUCACGUGGUGAAGUAUUUUUUUUUUUUUUUUGAAAAUGGCAUGUACCUAGGUUGUCUUUUAAUGCCAUUUAGAUAUGUGAAUAUUAAUGAUGUAUAAGAUGAUAUUGGUUGAUCUAUAUAUAUAAACAUAUGUCUUAUAAUAUAA
Molecule: long non-coding RNA, 498 nt
Organism: Gossypium arboreum
Lineage: Eukaryota; Viridiplantae; Streptophyta; Magnoliopsida; Malvales; Malvaceae
Exons: 4
Source: RefSeq, a predicted model, not a curated record